RNAcentral lists this microRNA (21 nucleotides) under Corchorus olitorius. RNAcentral's name for it is "oan-miR-1422p-". Lineage: Eukaryota; Viridiplantae; Streptophyta; Magnoliopsida; Malvales; Malvaceae. The record is from RNAcentral.
UCAAUCAAAAAAGUAUUUUCU